RNAcentral lists this ribosomal RNA (431 nucleotides) under uncultured organism. RNAcentral's name for it is "bacterial SSU rRNA". It matches the Rfam family "Bacterial small subunit ribosomal RNA", at positions 29 to 507 of the family's 1533-position model. The record is from RNAcentral.
AACGAACGCUGGCGGCAGGCCUAACACAUGCAAGUCGAGCGCACCUUCGGGUGAGCGGCGGACGGGUUAGUAACACGUGGGAACGUACCCUUCUCUAAGGAAUAGUCUCGGGAAACUGGGGGUAAUACCUUAUACGCCCUUAGGGGGAAAGAUUUAUCGGGGAAGGAUCGGCCCGCGGCUGAUUAGAUAGUUGGUGGGGUAAUGGCCUACCAAGUCUACGAUCAGUAGCUGGUUUUAGAGGAUGAUCAGCAACACUGGGACUGAGACACGGCCCAGACUCCUACGGGAGGCAGCAGUGGGGAAUCUUAGACAAUGGGCGAAAGCCUGAUCUAGCCAUGCCGCGUGAGUGAUGAAGGCCUUAGGGUCGUAAAGCUCUUUCGCUGGGGAAGAUAAUGACUGUACCCAGUAAAGAAGUCCCGGCUAACUCCGUG